RNAcentral lists this ribosomal RNA (500 nucleotides) under uncultured bacterium. RNAcentral describes it as "bacterial SSU rRNA". It matches the Rfam family "Bacterial small subunit ribosomal RNA", at positions 8 to 530 of the family's 1533-position model. The record is from RNAcentral.
AGAGUUUGAUCAUGGCUCAGAUUGAACGCUGGCGGCAUGCUUUACACAUGCAAGUCGAACGGCAGCGCGGGGCAACCUGGCGGCGAGUGGCGAACGGGUGAGUAAUAUAUCGGAACGUACCCAGAAGUGGGGGAUAACGUAGCGAAAGUUACGCUAAUACCGCAUACGAUCUACGGAUGAAAGUGGGGGACCUUCGGGCCUCAUGCUUUUGGAGCGGCCGAUAUCUGAUUAGCUAGUAGGUAGGGUAAAGGCCUACCUAGGCGACGAUCAGUAGCUGGUCUGAGAGGACGACCAGUCACACUGGAACUGAGACACGGUCCAGACUCCUACGGGAGGCAGCAGUGGGGAAUUUUGGACAAUGGGCGCAAGCCUGAUCCAGCAAUGCCGCGUGAGUGAAGAAGGCCUUCGGGUUGUAAAGCUCUUUUACCCGGGAAGAUAAUGACUGUACCGGGAGAAUAAGCCCCGGCUAACUCCGUGCCAGCAGCCGCGGUAAUACGGAG